AUCCUAGUAGCUCGGUGGUUGGAGUUUCGAGCCUCCAACUCUAAGGUACCAGGGUUCGAAUCCCGACAAUGACA
Sphenostylis stenocarpa is the source of this 74-nucleotide non-coding RNA. The record is from the annotation of a GenBank genome assembly. NCBI's taxonomy places the organism in Eukaryota, Viridiplantae, Streptophyta, Magnoliopsida, Fabales, Fabaceae.